AUUGAACGCUGGCGGCAGGCCUAACACAUGCAAGUCGAACGGUAACAGGAAGCAGCUUGCUGCGUUGCUGACGAGUGGCGGACGGGUGAGUAAUGUCUGGGAAACUGCCCGAUGGAGGGGGAUAACUACUGGAAACGGUAGCUAAUACCGCAUAACGUCGCAAGACCAAAGAGGGGGACCUUAGGGCCUCUUGCCAUCGGAUGUGCCCAGAUGGGAUUAGCUAGUAGGUGGGGUAACGGCUCACCUAGGCGACGAUCCCUAGCUGGUCUGAGAGGAUGACCAGCCACACUGGAACUGAGACACGGUCCAGACUCCUACGGGAGGCAGCAGUGGGGAAUAUUGCACAAUGGGCGCAAGCCUGAUGCAGCCAUGCCGCGUGUAUGAAGAAGGCCUUCGGGUUGUAAAGUACUUUCAGCGGGGAGGAAGGGAGUAAAGUUAAUACCUUUGCUCAUUGACGUUACCCGCAGAAGAAGCACCGGCUAACUCCGUG
Molecule: ribosomal RNA, 490 nt
Filed under: uncultured bacterium
Lineage: Bacteria
Description: partial 16S ribosomal RNA
Rfam family: Bacterial small subunit ribosomal RNA
Source: RNAcentral